This 872-nucleotide ribosomal RNA is filed under the name uncultured Methanosarcina sp. RNAcentral describes it as "bacterial SSU rRNA". It matches the Rfam family "Archaeal small subunit ribosomal RNA", at positions 1 to 873 of the family's 1478-position model. The record is from RNAcentral. Lineage: Archaea; Methanobacteriati; Methanobacteriota; Methanomicrobia; Methanosarcinales; Methanosarcinaceae.
UUCCGGUUGAUCCUGCCAGAGGUUACUGCUAUCGGUGUUCGCCUAAGCCAUGCGAGUCAUAUGUUCUUCGUGAACAUGGCGUACUGCUCAGUAACACGUGGAUAACCUGCCCUUGGGUCCGGCAUAACCCCGGGAAACUGGGGAUAAUUCCGGAUAACGCAAAUAUGCUGGAAUGCUUUCUGCGUAAAAUGGAUUCGUCUGCCCAAGGAUGGGUCUGCGGCCUAUCAGGUAGUAGUGGGUGUAAUGUACCUACUAGCCGACGACGGGUACGGGUUGCGAGAGCAAGAGCCCGGUGAUGGAUUCUGAGACAUGAAUCCAGGCCCUACGGGGCGCAGCAGGCGCGAAAACUUUACAAUGCGGGAAACCGUGAUAAGGGGACACCGAGUGCCAGCAUCAUAUGCUGGCUGUCCGGGUGUGUAAAAUACACCCGUUAGCAAGGGCCGGGCAAGACCGGUGCCAGCCGCCGCGGUAACACCGGCGGCCCGAGUGGUGAUCGUGAUUAUUGGGUCUAAAGGGUCCGUAGCCGGUUUGGUCAGUCCUCCGGGAAAUCUGAUAGCUCAACUAUUAGGCUUUCGGGGGAUACUGCCAGGCUUGGAACCGGGAGAGGUAAGAGGUACUACAGGGGUAGGAGUGAAAUCUUGUAAUCCCUGUGGGACCACCUGUGGCGAAGGCGUCUUACCAGAACGGGUUCGACGGUGAGGGACGAAAGCUGGGGGCACGAACCGGAUUAGAUACCCGGGUAGUCCCAGCCGUAAACGAUGCUCGCUAGGUGUCAGGCAUGGCGCGACCGUGUCUGGUGCCGCAGGGAAGCCGUGAAGCGAGCCACCUGGGAAGUACGGCCGCAAGGCUGAAACUUAAAGGAAUUGGCGGGA